GAAUUAACCUGUAGUAUCUCCAUCAACCCCAGGAGACGACAACAUACCCCAGUUGGAUCCUCCCUCCGAUAUUGUGGGAACUGACACCAACGCUAGUGACAUUACCAGCGACAUCACACCAGCCUCAGCAGAUGAUCCUCUUAGCGACUCAAAUCUAUUGGGAACUAGCAUAGGUCAGCCUGUGAUGCAUUCUUCAGAUGUUGGGAGAGAUUCCUUGAGCCAAUCCUUAGGUCAGUCGACUGCACUUCUCAUCGAGGAUAUGGUCAUGGAUGAUCAGAGUCCAUAAAAAAAAAUAAAUAAAUAAAUAAAAACAAUCUAAUAGGCAUUAUUGGUGGUAUUUUUUAAGUACUUGUAUCCGCAAUCAAUAUAAUGACAACACAUAAUCCGUAAAGAUAUAUGUUUCAUGAAUUUGAAAAUAAAGUGUCACUUUAGCUUA
This is a non-coding RNA of Penaeus vannamei (Pacific white shrimp), 436 nucleotides long. The record is from RefSeq and is a predicted model, not a curated record. Lineage: Eukaryota; Metazoa; Arthropoda; Malacostraca; Decapoda; Penaeidae.